CAAUAGCGUAUAUUAAAGUUGUUGCGGUUAAAAAGCUCGUAGUUGGAUUUCUGCUGAGAACGACCGGUCCGCCCUUUGGGUGUGUAUCUGGCUCUUUCUUGGCAUCUUCUUGGUGAACGUUGCUGCACUUGACUGUGUGGAGCGCUACCCAGGACUUUUACUUUGAGGAAAUUAGAGUGUUUCAAGCAGGCAUACGCCUUGAAUACAUUAGCAUGGAAUAAUAAGAUAGGGCCUUGGUUCUAUUUUGUUGGUUUCUAGAGCUGAGGUAAUGAUUGAUAGGGACAGUUGGGGGCAUUCGUAUUUAACUGUCAGAGGUGAAAUUCUUGGAUUUGUUAAAGACGAACUACUGCGAAAGCAUUUGCCAAGGAUGUUUUCAUUGA
RNAcentral lists this ribosomal RNA (380 nucleotides) under uncultured eukaryote. RNAcentral's name for it is "partial 18S ribosomal RNA". It matches the Rfam family "Eukaryotic small subunit ribosomal RNA", at positions 592 to 976 of the family's 1831-position model. The record is from RNAcentral.